UUUUGAGUAUAAGUAUAUCCAGUGCAAUAUUUGGGAUAUACUUAUACUAAAA
This 52-nucleotide microRNA precursor is filed under the name Equus asinus (donkey). Its description in RNAcentral is "mir-1302 microRNA precursor family". It matches the Rfam family "mir-1302 microRNA precursor family". The record is from Rfam by way of RNAcentral. RNAcentral also lists the same sequence under 1 other name. Lineage: Eukaryota; Metazoa; Chordata; Mammalia; Perissodactyla; Equidae.